RNAcentral lists this ribosomal RNA (571 nucleotides) under uncultured bacterium. RNAcentral's name for it is "bacterial SSU rRNA". It matches the Rfam family "Bacterial small subunit ribosomal RNA", at positions 222 to 796 of the family's 1533-position model. The record is from RNAcentral.
GGGAUGAGCUUGCGUCCGAUUAGCUAGUAGGCGGUGUACGGACCACCUAGGCGACGAUCGGUAGCCGGCCUGAGAGGGUGAUCGGCCACAUUGGGACUGAGAUACGGCCCAGACUCCUACGGGAGGCAGCAGUAGGGAAUAUUGCACAAUGGGGGAAACCCUGAUGCAGCAACGCCACGUGUGGGAAGAAGCAUUUCGGUGUGUAAACCACUGUCGUGAGGGAAUAAGGCAUUGUUUCGGCGAUGUUGAAUGUACCUCGAAAGGAAGCACCGGCAAACUUCGUGCCAGCAGCCGCGGUAAUACGAGGGGUGCAAGCGUUGUUCGGAAUCACUGGGCGUAAAGGGAGCGUAGGCGGAGACGCAAGCAGUCUGUACAAUACCGGGGCCCAACCCCGGACCUGCAGACUGGCUGUGUCUCUUGGUAGUUCAGGGGCAGGCGGAAUUCCUGGUGUAGCGGUGGAAUGCGUAGAGAUCAGGAAGAACACCGAUGGCGAAGGCAGCCUGCUGGGGACUCAUCGACGCUGAGGCUCGAAAGUGCGGGUAGCAAACAGGAUUAGAUACCCUGGUAGUCC